This 826-nucleotide ribosomal RNA is filed under the name uncultured archaeon. RNAcentral describes it as "bacterial SSU rRNA". It matches the Rfam family "Archaeal small subunit ribosomal RNA", at positions 110 to 922 of the family's 1478-position model. The record is from RNAcentral.
UACCCUUAGGACGUGGAUACCCCCGAGAAAUUGGGGUUAGUCCGCGAUAGGUGUAAUGUCCUGGAAUGGUAUUACGCCUAAAGGUGUAUCAUACAUGUUUGAUAUACGCCUAAGGAUGGGGCUGCGGCCGAUCAGGCUGUUGGUGAGGUAAUGGCUCACCAAACCUUUGACCGGUACGGGCCAUGAGAGUGGUAGCCCGGAGAUGGACACUGAGACAAGGGUCCAGGCCCUAAGGGGCGCAGCAACCGCGAAACCUCCACAAUGCACUCACGUGCGAUGGGGCUAUCUCGAGUGCCACCUGAUGAAGGUGGCUUUUCCUAGGUCUUCAAAGCCUUGGGAAUAAGAGGGGGGCAAGACUGGUGUCAGCCGCCGCGGUAACACCAGCCCCUCGAGUGGUGGGGAUGAUUAUUUGGCCUAAAGCGUCCGUAGCCGGCCGAGCAAGUCUUCCGUUAAAUCCAGCGUCUCAAGCGUUGGACUGCGGGAGAUACUACACGGCUAGAGAGUGGGAGAGGUCAGCGGUAUUCUGGGGGUAGGGGCGAAAUCCUUUGAUCCCCGGAGGACCACCAGUGGCGAAGGCUGCUGACUAGAACACGUCUGACGGUCAGGGACGAAAGCUGGGGUAGCGAACCGGAUUAGAUACCCGGGUAGUCCCAGCCGUAAACGAUGCAUGCUAGGUGUUGGGUUGGCCACGAGCCACCCCAGUGCCGCAGGGAAGCCGUUAAGCAUGCCGCCUGGGAAGUACGAUCGCAAGAUUGAAACUUAAAGGAAUUGGCGGGGGAGCACCACCAGGCGUGAAGCCUGCGGUUUAAUUGGAUUCAACGCCGGA